AGUCAAUAGAUACCCAGGUAGUCCAUGCCGUAAACGAUGAUUGCUAGGUGUGGGGGGUCUGACCCCUUCCGUGCCGGAGUUAAACACAAUAAGCAAUCCACCUGGGGAGUACGGCCGCAAGGUUGAAACUCAAAGGAAUUGACGGGGGCCCGCACAAGCAGUGAAGUAUGUGGUUUAAAUUCGAAGCAACGCGAAGAACCUUACCAGGUCUUGACAUCCACCGAAUCCUGUAGAGAUACGGGAGUGCCCUUCGGGGAACGGUGAGACAGGUGGUGCAUGGUUGUCGUCAGCUCGUGUCGUGAGAUGUUGGGUUAAGUCCCGCAACGAGCGCAACCCUUGUGAAUAGUUGCUACGAAAGAGCACUCUAUUCAGACCGCCGUUGACAAAACGGAGGAAGGUGGGGAUGACGUCAAAUCAUCAUGCCCCUUAUGACCUGGGCUACACACGUACUACAAUGGCCGUUAACAGAGGGAUGCAAUGCCGCGAGGUGGAGCGAACCCCUAAAAACGGUCUCAGUUCAGAUUGCAGGCUGAAACUCG
This 539-nucleotide ribosomal RNA is filed under the name uncultured bacterium. RNAcentral describes it as "bacterial SSU rRNA". It matches the Rfam family "Bacterial small subunit ribosomal RNA", at positions 775 to 1314 of the family's 1533-position model. The record is from RNAcentral.